RNAcentral lists this ribosomal RNA (124 nucleotides) under Rhinopithecus bieti (black snub-nosed monkey). Lineage: Eukaryota; Metazoa; Chordata; Mammalia; Primates; Cercopithecidae. The record is from RNAcentral. RNAcentral also lists the same sequence under 1 other name.
CUUAAUGCCAUACUACCCUGUACGUACCCGAUCUCAUCAGACCUCAGAAGCUAAGCAGAGUAGUGCUUGGCUAGCACUUAGAUGGGGAAAUGAUUAAGUAAUCGAUGGCAUACGGCCAUUAAGA